UUUUUUUUUUUGGUGUUUGGUGGUUUUCGUUUGGUUUUUUGUUUUGUUUUGUUUUGUUGAUUUUUUCUUUUAAUGAUUGCAGAUGGAGGUGUUGUUACAUCCUUCCUUUACAAGGCUAAUGAUUAGAGCACUUGCCCAUAAACGACAUCGAAUGUCUUCUGCCUGUUUUACAACAUGUAUAUAGGUGUCAGCUCCCAGCUGAGAUAAAAAACCUCUGUGUGUAACCUGUGUGUAACCACAGCCAGUGGGCCAUUAUAGCAAAGGAAAGGACCUGUGGGAUCCCUUGAAGCAUAGUAGAAGGUAUUUUGCUUCAGGAGUCUGUCCAGGAUCUGAAGAUAAAAGAGAUGUAUGGUUCCAUUGCUGCUUCAGGAGAUGAUAACUUCCUGCAUGUUUUUCACAGUGUUUCUGGACCCCUUGUUUAAGGAACCUAUACCUCCAGGAAGCCUUAGCACUAGGUCAUGUACAUAGAGAUGGAAUGGAUGUUUUAGAAUGCCUUCUGAUUUGGCCCUGAAGGGAACUGGACUCAGCUGAAGAGGCCCAAAUGCUCUGUGGGUUGUAUGGACACAAUUCCAGCAAUAGGAAGGCUAUUUUUUCCCAGGGACACCACCAUCCUUGGAAUUCCACAGCAGCUUUAUGACUAGGUGUGACUAGGUGUUAUAGUGCUGUUGAUAUGGGGCUCAAAGAGAUAAUUUGUAAGGGUAGAGGUGUCCAGCUGGAAGUUAAACAGGCCUGAUUAUUUGCACAAGUCUGGGCCUAUCUGAAUUGUUUUUGCUACUGCAAUAUACCAGCCUCUUUUUUUACCAUGCAUUUGACUUUGAUUCCUCUAUUUAUCCUCCUUAAUAACAGUCUUUGCUUUUAUGGAAAUGGAUUACAUCUGUCAGUUCAGGCUGGAAGUUGUACUUGUGUUUUUUCUAAACCUCCAGCUCCUCUAACAGCACUGCAUCUGUGCUAUGUGAUUCAUUGUGAGCUAUAAAGCACAGCAGUGCUUUGGUGACUGUGUGUGUGUAAGCUCUGCUUUGUACAUGGACAGCUGAAGGUCGAGAAACUGGGAUGCCUUAGGAAUGCAGAAGCAGAGCCCUGCCAGAUUCCCUGGGGUCCCAGAGGUGUUUAUACACAGAGGCAUUUGAGAUGUGUUUCCAUUCUCUCUGCGUGGCUCCAAGCUGUGCCUGGGAACUGGCACAGCUGGCAUUAUUUUAAGGCCCUUUUACUGUGUUUUAAACUUAUCAUAUAAGAUUACAAAAAAUGCCACUUUGGAGAGCAAAUGCGGUGAAUUCUAUCCCUGAAUUCAAGAAAACAUUGUAACUGUUUAUGAAUGUAACAACACAAGGAGGGUAAUUGUUCAAUCUGCUUAAUUUUUCUAACUGGAAGCAUCUUUUCCUGUAAUUUUAAGAGCCUAGGAUCCUAACAAUAUCUUGGGCUUUAAUAAUUUUAGCUAAGAUACCAAUAUUGUUGCUUCUGAAGAUAUUUAGUUAUCAAACUGGUGGCCACCUACAUAUCAUGCCACCUGUCAGGUCUUUUUCAAUCAAAACAUGAUGCAUGUUUUAUCUUGCCCUUAUUUCCAAACAUUGUUGUCAAUAAGAUGCAUUCUAAAAUACAAGCCAUUAGUCUUCUCUGGGAUGUGAAUAGAAUCACAUGAAAAUAAAUAGCCACGACUUUGAUACUACAAAGGUGAUGAGCAGGGAAGUUGUUCUAGUAUAUUCUGAAAUUUGUUAAAAAAGCAUGUGUCUACAUGCUGAGAAAGGUCUGGAAAGAGGUAAUCUCUAAUGGAUUGCUCAGUUCUCUCUCUGAAGUGUCUGUGGGCAAAACUGGGUAAGUAGGCACAUCAAAACUUACAUAUGAAAAUUUUUGUUCCUGUGCUGGAUAUGCCUUUUAAGUGCUUAGGCAUUGAGUGCUCUCUCUGCUGGAAUGCAAAACCAGUGCAUAUAAAUGCUACCAGAAAGGAAGAAGUAUGCUCUCAUCAGAGAGAAAAAUUGAGAAGGUGUGCUAGAAACAUGAGACCUGCAGAGUUUCCUGGGGAAAAAAAAUGCUGUUAGCAGCAACCCACCCAGAGUUUUUAGCCUGGAGAAAACAUAUCUCACUGUAAACCUGCGUGAAGCCCAAAGAAGUGGUUGAAGAAAGAUUAGGAUAUACUGUGUUCUCAGUUUUCCUUUGAGCCACCUCCAGACAGUCCCUCUUUAGCAUCCUAAUCUUUGAAAUCCCUUUCUGAGACAUCCUAACUCUCAAAUAAACAUAAGGAGUCAGGGAUCCCAGAGGAGGAAAACCAACAGCUUCUCCUUUGAACCUUGCAAACCAUGGAAUAAAACCAGCACAACACUUUAUGUGCUGGUUCCUCCCACUAAAAUCCAGCAUCCACACCUAUAGUAAAAGUCUGAACUUAAACCCAAGCAGAUGCCAUGUCAUACUGAUACCAUAGCAAAGGCCUUUCUUCCUCCAUUUUUUUCCUAGGAACGGGGAGGAAGAGGAGAGAAAGGCAGGUAACAGGGAAGUAAAGCUGGACAACAGAUGGGAGGAAAAGAUAACUCUAUUCUCAGGAGUCAUGAAGAAACUCACAAGAGAAGUAAAGAAGACAUUUUCUACUGUGUGUGCUGAAACUGCUGGAGAAUGAGCCCUCCACCUGCACAACUUUCUGAAUAAAUAUUUCAGCAGCGCAAUGACGGAAUGGGCUGUGGUAUGAAGCAGAUGUGAUGUCAAAGAAGCAAAAGCUGCAGCACACUUUGCUUCAUUAGAGAGGGAUAUCUGGCAAGAGAUUUGACAGAUCCUGGGGCCCUGAGGAACACAAUUGCUUUAACACCCAUGUCUGCCAUGUAGCUGCAGCGCCAGGGACCCUGCCUCGGUCAUAUUUGGCACCUCGGCACAGUUCUUCAUUUCUUCUUUUCGCCUGACAAUUGUGCUCAUGGCUUUGUCAUCCCAGUAAGUGGGAGUACAAGAGCUGGCAACAUCCUGGCAUCCUUUCUGAGCGCACGCACUGGAUAGUUUUGUUGAAUGCCGUUCUGUCACGAUGUUCAAAGCAAACAUCUACUGCAAUGCAGCUGUUUGAGCUGUGCCUGCACUUGGAACAUCUCAUCUGCAGCUGAUGAGAAAUUGUGGGAGCUAAGAUUCAUCUCAAGAUGCAGUGCCAAGGCCCUGACAUGCUUCAUCUUUUUCUUCCACACUACUACCACAGGCAAUAGUCUGGCAUUAUCCCCUUGGUGGGAAGAGAUGUUGGAGGAGGAACAGUGGAGGUAGGACCUGGGCCAGAGGCCUUACAUAAUCCAAGCCUGAGCACAUGGAAAGCCUCUUUGCCAGAAGAAUUUCUGCCUACCAACUCUGAGGUAACACUACUGCAACAGAAGCUUGCCACUUUUGAACGUGGCUCUUUUGAUAGAUUUGGCUGUAUUGGUAAAGUUCUUGUAUCUCAUAUAUGAGAACACAAACAUCUAGUUUGUCUCUUUGUUUUUCCCUUAGUAUUCACAGUUUGCUCUGGGCACUUGCAGCAUUUAGGAAGAAUAUCAGUCUGAUUUGUUGCCUGCAAGAGAGUCUAAUUAAAACAAGAGAGCAGGAUGGGAACUGAUGACACAUAGUGCAGCUGAGCUGCUCCCAAAGCUGAACAUGGCAGCUGUGGUUUUCGUCAUUUGCAAAGCCUCAGCCAACACGUUGGCCCACAGAGUUAAAAUAAAUGUCUAAUUAUGUUGUUUAAUUAUUUCAGUUCCAAAUUCCUGCUUGAAAAGUAUUGCAAAAGAUGUGAGAGAAGCACUGAGAGAGCCAUUAUCACGUCUGUGGCUUGCCAGUAAAUCAGAAAUCACAAUGCUUUCUCUUAGUCAGGUUCCUCCCUUCCCCGUGCCUGUGGUCAGGCUGCAGAGGAAGGAGUGUGUGUGCUUGAACCAGCCUCCAGCCCUCUCCCCUCCCCUGUCACUUGGCACUGACUCACAGCACUGUUUUUCAACAUGAUGCUAAUUAGCCGCUGAGUAGUGAGAUGCUGUGAACUCUGAGAGAAAAGACAGAAAAAGACUUCAAAGAUGUUUACCAUUUUUUCCUUUUUUAAUUGUGACAGUAAUAAAAAAAAUUCUUAUCACUGCUGUCUGGAUCCAGCCAUUUCUUGUGUGCAGGAAGACAUUGCUCCAGGUUAUUCUGGGGUGAGGAGGUUGUGACUUUGUUUGCUUUCCAUGCAGUGGGCCAAAAAGAGGGAGCAAAUAUGGAUUGCUGUGCUAAAUCUGGUGGCUAUAAUUUGACAUAUAAUUCCACUUGGUACUAGUGUGCCAAGCAGAGGAAAAUUGAUGCAGGAAGAGAGACUGAGACUCCUGUAUCAGAGCAACCUCUUGGCAGGUCUUGUUAGGUCCAAGUUGAGUUUGGGGCACUGACACCUUUUCAUGCACAGCUUAAGCAAAUGCUCUUGGUUGACGUGAUGAGGACCAUUAGGUCCUUCAGAAUCUGGUUUUUUUAGCCUGUAUUCACAAUAUCACUUGCAGUAAAUUGGUUGUUACUGUCUCAAUUAACGGAUCUACUGUCUUUGGACACAGCCCACCUAUCAGUUAAGCUGCUUGUGAACCAAAUGUUCAUUAAAAUUGUCUUUAUCCAGAACCCUGGAAAUAAAAUGACUUUUCACACAGAAAUGGUUCCCACUGGUCAUGCAUCUUUAAUUAAGCUGUGGCCCACUUCUGCCAUACUGUGUUAUUCUAAAUUUGUCAUUCUUCAAAUAGCUUAAUAAGAGAUGGAUGUUGAAUACAUUGUAAAAAUGUAGAGGAAAAAGUCUUUGAGAAAGACUUUUGUUUUUCAUGUGAGUCUAUUUGUCUUUUAUUUUCCUGAUGUUAAAGGUCUUCCCUUGCCCAGUUUUGAAAAUUCUGCACAACUUAUAACCAAUAUAGUCAGUGGCCCCCUUGAUAUUAAUUUGUGUGAUCAAAGAGACCUCUGAACUGCUCAGGGAACACUUGGAGUCAACAGUUUGCAUUCAUCAGGCUCAUGAUUCACACACAAAUAAACUGAGACUGUAGCUGAUGUGCCUGCUUAGUUAUCUUGAGAUCACUGUUUUGUUCUCCCACAAACUGAGUUUCACAUUUCUCCUAACUAUACCGAGAUCUCUGUGUUUUCACAUGGAACAAAUAAGAGAGGACAAUGAAAGCUAGAGCUCCAAGAAGUCAAGUCUUUUCUGUAUCCAGGAUUUUGGGGUUUUUCUUGAUGAACAUUUUGAAUUCCAAAGGGAUUUACUGUAGUAACAGUUGUUAAUUAUUGCAAAGAGAAACUGGCUGAAGAGAAAAAAGAUUUGUCUCCAGAGUCAGGUGUCAGUUUGCUGCAGAUCCCUCUUCAGCUAAGAGAAUAUUGACACUACAAACAAUGACUGCACACCACAGUCAACUGAAAAACCAAUCGAUUUCUUAGAACUGCUUUUGGAACAUGUGGUCAGUCAGUGAUAUUCUCCUUUUCCAGUCCAGGUAUUCUGAUUUUAGUUCUCAGUUUCCUAUCCAAACUGAUGCUUUUUUGUCAUUAGAAAAUUACAAAAAGACUUUCUAGAAGGAAAAGUAGGUUUAAUUUCUUUUGUUCUAAUCUGAUCUUGUGAGGAGUCCAAAUGUGGUGACUGCAUAUAAAUCUUGAUGCCCAUCUGAGAGUGGUAGGAAUUUAAAUGAAAAAUUUUUAUUUCUCCUAAACUGGAGACAGCAAAAAUUGAAUAUUUUAAGCUGCCCUUGUAUCUCUAAACCUUGUCAGUCCCUUUCCUUGUUUCUCUUUUUGCAUGUGCACAUCUGAGUAGUAUUUUAUUCUCGUAUGUAUUUCAGGAUUUAUUCAUGUCGAUUUGUUUAAACUGUGUAAUCUGUAAAUGUGUAGAUUGUUGUUGGCCUUUAUUCAGAUACCAUCCACAAUUCCUUUUUAUCUAGACCAUUAUUUUCACAUAAUUUAAAGUACAUCUAAAAUAGCAUUUUAUUGUCUGCACCUUUUAGCAUUACUCCUACAAAAGAAGUAAAAACUGCUCUUAUAUUUUUUUUUUGUGAGGGAGAAUUACUAAAGGAAUAUUAAAAUAUACAGUGAUUACUCCUUCUCACUAAAAUCCCUGAUCUGAUUCCAGGUCAUAAGAAGUUGCAGGGGACCAAAAUCAGUGUUAAUUGUUUGUACCUGUCCAAAUAUGAAUUUUCUCCUGAGUAUGCAAAGGAAGGUCAUUAAUCAACACACCCCAUGCUGGACCUCUGCUGGUGCGGCCACUUCACCCUUGGCUGGUGAGGAUGAACUUUCCUUCUUUUCAAGGCUUACACAAACCGGUGCCAGCUGUGAAGCAGAAGGAUUUUAAAGCCAACAUGAGGCCAGUGUGGUAGGAUGGGGUGCUGCAACACAUAAGUAGUGCUCAAAAGACAGGGUGUCUUUUGCAGCUCAUCUCUCUGCUCUGUGAAUUACUUUAUUACUUAUCAGGUGCAAUGAGCAGGAGGCCUCCAGACCCGAGAUUUCAUUGUGCCACAGGGCCAGAAAGGCAACCAUGCCUCCCAGUGACAGCAAUCUUCCUUCAGCUGUGAAAGUGUGUGCAAGAGGGGACUACAAUUAAUACUGCACAGUGCAUGCUUUGAAAAAAAAAACCUCAUCAAAACUGUGUCAGCUUUAAAUUUUUAAGUUGAACAUUAUCCUGGAUAUUCAAACACUUUGUUAAGUAAUGGAUAUAUCCAGGUUCUUGCAAUUCUAGAGGAGUAAAACUUUCACAGCGUGUCAAUGGCACAUCCAGUCACUGUCAAAAGAGCAACAGGUGAGAUUUCCAAGGCAAGUAUAUAAUUAAGCUAGCAAAAGGGGCAUUGAAAGCUGUUGUGGUAAGGAUAGCUUUCCACAUCAAAAUCCAUGCUUGGAAAAUGUUGUGAAUAAUGUUUUCUUUUGAAAAGGCUGCAGUAAAAUGGGAAUGGAGGAAGGAAGAAAAAAACAGAGUGUAGUAUAUUCAGGCUUCUUUUCUGCCGGCCUGUUAAUGCUUGUUACCUUUAUACAGCUUUUCUGCUGUUAAAAUAAAAUUGAAAGAAAAUCCCUCUCUUACUCUUCAAUGAAAAAUUUAAAAGACUGAAAUGGACACAUUCCUGCAAUAUCCAGAACAUCUCUGGAAUUUUCUGGUACUUCAGUGAAACAUUUAGGUGUCCCACAUUGUCCCACCUUGUUUCUUUUCCAGUUUUCAGUAUUCCCCUCAUGGGGAUGGUCAUUGGCUCCCUGACUCAUCAUGCCAUUCAGUUGCUGUAUCUCUUUCUUUAAGUGUAAGUUUACAUAGUUAAAUUAAGUGCUCUGUAAAUUAAAUACUCUACUAAAAUCCAGGCAGGAGGCUGCCAUUGGUGGAUGCAGACUUUUUUCUUCAAAUCCAUUGCCCUCUCCAAUGAGAAACUGCCACAGACCCUUCCUCUUCUAGGUUUCUUACUCAUCCACAGCAGUAGUGUGGUUGAGUUUAACUUCAACUCUAACUUUCAGCUCUCACAUGAGAGCAGCUUUAGAGAUUUCUGUUGUAAGUUUCUAAAAUACAGUGCAAAGUUUUUGAGUGCUAAUAGGGCGGCUGCAGGGCAUGAGUUGUAUCACUGUGAAGGCUGGGCAACUUCACAGUGGGGACACCAGUACCUGCUUGGGUCUAGAUCCAAAAUGGGCUUACCUGCCUUUGGGGCUUUGCAGCUCCUAACCUGAGUUUAGAAAUGAGGAAGAACUUUAAAGAGAUCAACCGUCUUGGAUAAAGAAUAAUUUGGGUAUAGCAGCAAACUUUGGAAGUGUUACUACCCUGACUUCUACCUUAUUGUAAUGGUAGCCAGAAUUAAAUGCAUGAAAUUUGGGCAAAAUUUGAACAUAAUUAGUAAUAAUCCAAAUAUAUUUUCUAAAUACAUGACUGGGUGAAAUUCUAGCUCAUUAUUUUCAAUUUUUUUCCUCAAAAUUAAAUGCUUCUGGAUAUUUUAUAUUCAGGAACAAUUUUUAUUCUUCAAUGCUCAUUAAAAACCAUGACCAGGGUGCACAGUGUAGCUUUAAAGAGUCUCACAAGUUUUCUCUCUCAAGAUUCAGAGUAUCAAAAUUAUGAUCUGUCUGAAAUUAUAAAUAAGCCUUCUUCAGAAUGUUUGCCUUUAUGAUCUCCUAAUUUGCAUUUCUCCAAUAUUAUUUGUUAUUUAAAAUACAGCUUGCCUUGUUUUGUUUUGAUGCUUGAAUUUCAUGUUACAGCAGCAAUAACACACUCCAGGUAAUUAAUUUCCAGUUGAGCUUCACUGGAAGCUUGAGUGCUUGAGUGCUUAAAAAACCAUUUGGCUUACUAUCUUGUACCUUUUAAUGCCUCCUGCAGUCUCCAAUAACCAUUCAAGAAAUUCACUGCUUGUCAUGGCCUAUUGGUUUAAAUUAAAAAACUAAAUUUGGAAACUCCACAUGCUCUGCUAUCAGUUUUUCUAGUGUAAAACUGUCCUACCAUGGGAAAUUGCCAGUGGACUUCACCAUCCCUGAAAAAAAUCAGCAUUAAUAGAGUGGAAACAGAGUAGAAGAAUAUUUUGGCUGUGUCUUUUUGGUGAAAUAUAGUGUAGAUAUAAAUUUGAAACAUGUCAAAAAAAGAAAUACAAAUUAUUUUAAAGCAGCCUGUGCUUUGGGGGAUUGAAUGCACCGUGGAGACCGUGAGGUGGCAUGUGGCAUGGCAGCAUCAGGCAGAGGUGCUCACACAGCUCAGGAGGCACUACAGGAAUAUCAGCCAGGCAGCAUGUCUGUGCCAGGCUGUGCUGCACAAUAAUUGUGCCUCUCAAUGAUAGCUUUUGUGGAGACAUGUCUGAUGGCUGUCAGGUAAACACAGCAGUUCAAGAGCAUCCUCAGUCACCACAGCAUUGUGCCUUGAGGACAGCCCCCAAGCCCCUUUUUGCUUGACCAGGCCUACUCGUGUGGUACCUGAAAUCCUGGGGAGACUGACAGUCAACAGAGCAGGUGUGCACCCUCACAAGGGAUGCCAUCCAGAGGAAUCUUGACAAUUUUCAGAAGUGAGUCUGUGUUCCAGACCAAGUAUGAGGUCCGGCACCUGGGUCAGGGCAGUCCCCAACACAAGUACAGACUGGAUGGAGAAUGGAUCAAGAGCAGUGCUACAGAGAAAUAUACUUGGGGUGUGGGACAAGAGACUUGACAUGAGCCAGCAAUGCAUGCUUGGAUCCCAGGAGUCCAACCAUAUCCUGGGCUACAGCCAAAGCAGCGUGGCCAGCAGGUUAAGAGAACUCAUUCUGCUCCUCCACUCCAUUCUCACGACACCCCACCUGGAGUUCCACAUUCAACUCUGGAGCACCUAACAGAAGAAAGUCAUGGACCUACUGGAAUGAGUCCACUGGAGGGCCAUGAAGAUGCCCAGUGGACUGGAAUACUUCUUCCUCUAUGAGAACAGGCUGGGAGAGUUGGGGUUUGUUUAGCAUAGUGAAGAGAAGUCUCUAGGGAGACCCUAUAGCAGCCUUCCAGUACCUACAGUGGCUACAACAGAGCUGGAGAGGGACUUUUUGCAAGGGGAUGUGGUGAUGGAACAAGAGGGAAUAGCUUCAAACUAUAGGAGGGAAUAUUUACAUUACUGUUAGAAAGAAAUUCUUUACCCAGAGGGUAGUGAGGCACUGAACAGGUUUCCCAGAGUUGUGGAUGAAUCACCCCUGGAAGCAUCUGAGCCAGGCUGGAUGAUGCUGUGAGCAACCUGGUCUGGAUGAAGGUGUCCCUUUCCAUGACAGGGGGGUUGGAACCAGGGGAUCUUUCAGGUCCCUUCCAACCCAAACCUUGCUAUGUUUCUAUGAAAUUGUCACACCCAGCAGUGGGCAUUAAAGGUCUCAUUUCUCCUGUAUAAGGCUACUGUACCUCCCAUUGGAAAGGAAUAUGACCUGCUCUGUACUACAGAGGAAAGCUGAUUAGUAAAAGCACAUAGCCAAGGGUAGACACAGUUGAUAUGUAAAGGGUGGCAAGCAAGUCUGUAAGAGCUCCUGCCACAACCCCAGCACUGCAAAACUGACUCAAGGCAGCUCAGAUCAGUGAGGAGCUCAAUCUAGAUUAUUACACUUGUGUAUUGCCUGGUUUAUCAAUGCUUAGAUUUGGCAGAUCAGCUUCUGAUCAAUCUGAAGGGCAAUUUCCCCUUCAGCAUUCUACCAAAUACCAUCUAGGCAUAAAUUUACAUCCAGAAUUGAAAAUCCAGGCAUUUUUAGGGUUCACUUAAUGGAUAGGAUGGUGUCCCUUGCAAUAAUGUGGUAGAAGCCUGGAGUGGGAAAAGAAGUUGGUUUGCAUGUAAAGGUUCAGUCACACCAUUGGGAUGAGGGAAGUCUAGAUUAAAUACUUUCAGCAGAUCUGUCCUAUCUCAGGGGAAUGCCCUCAAGUGCACAGAGCACUGGGUAAGAUGUUCCCUUAUGCAGGUACAAAUGUUAAGGUUUUAUGGAUGCCAGAGAGAAAAGAAGAGUAUAGUUGGGCCCUUGGUAUAUCUGCCUAGAGUUUUCAAGCAGGUGCCAGCUUUGUAUCUUCAAAUGUCAAGUUGGUUGAAUGUGAGCCAGCUCUCAGAUGAAGCUGUGCAGCUCCAAGUAAUGCAGUGCUGGCUCUAGGAUAAUUAGAAUCAGUAAUCUGGAAGGCAGAAUUUAUUUAGGCUGGUUCUACUGCUGCUCCAAAGCAACUAGAGAACAUCCCACUCACUGAUAGAGCAGGCACCUCCUAAAUAGGGGCACCCAGCUUUGAGGUGCCUGGAGAAGGCCUUGGACUUCAGUCAGCAAGCUCCAACAGUUUCUGGGCUUGCAGCCAUUCUCCUUCAUCUAUGUCACAGAAAUCAUACCAAGUUUGGACUGAUCACAGCAUGAUCAAAGCCAUGCUGUGACAAUAAGCAAUUUGAGCUUCCCUUUUUUCUUCUCCUGGCUCCACUUUAGAGCUUUUCAGUGUUUAUAGCUUUAUAACUUAGUUAUUUAUCUCCAGGUCACAUCACAUGUUUUGUAUUGACUGCAAAUUGAUUUUUGUUCAU
Long non-coding RNA from Melospiza melodia melodia, 10885 nucleotides. RefSeq lists it as uncharacterized. The record is from RefSeq and is a predicted model, not a curated record. NCBI's taxonomy places the organism in Eukaryota, Metazoa, Chordata, Aves, Passeriformes, Passerellidae. The transcript is spliced from 7 exons.